GGAUGUGGCUCAGUGGUAGAGUGCUUGCCUAGCUUGCAUGAGGCCCUGGGUUCAACCUCCAACACCG
RNAcentral lists this transfer RNA (67 nucleotides) under Marmota monax (woodchuck). RNAcentral describes it as "tRNA.Ala". The record is from RNAcentral. Lineage: Eukaryota; Metazoa; Chordata; Mammalia; Rodentia; Sciuridae.